GAUGAGCGCUGACAGAAUGCUUAACACAUGCAAGUCUACUUGAUUCUACUUCGGUAGUUGAUGGUGGCGGACGGGUGAGUAACGCGUAAAGAAUCUGCCCUUUAGUUUGGGAUAACCUUUGGAAACGAAGGCUAAUACCGGAUAUUAUGGAGACGUCGCAUGGCGACUCCAUGAAAGCUAUAUGCGCUAGAGGAGGACUUUGCGUCCCAUUAGUUAGUUGGUGAGGUAAUAGCUCACCAAGACCGCGAUGGGUAGCCGGCCUGAGAGGGUGAUCGGCCACAAGGGAACUGAGACAUGGUCCUUACUCCUACGGGAGGCAGCAGUGGGGAAUAUUGGACAAUGGGCCACAAGCCUGAUCCAGCAAUUCUGUGUGCACGAUGAAGGUCUUCGGAUUGUAAAGUACUUUCAGUAGGGAAGAAAAAAAUGACGGUACCUACAGAAGAAGCGACGGCUAAAUAUGUGCCAGCAGCCGCCGUAA
RNAcentral lists this ribosomal RNA (478 nucleotides) under uncultured bacterium. Its description in RNAcentral is "partial 16S ribosomal RNA". It matches the Rfam family "Bacterial small subunit ribosomal RNA", at positions 28 to 523 of the family's 1533-position model. The record is from RNAcentral.